UGAACGUUACCAAACAGUUGCCUCGGCGGGAUCUCUGCCCCGGGUGCGUCGCAGCCCCGGACCAAGGCGCCCGCCGGAGGACCAACCAAAACUCUUUUUGUAUACCCCCUCGCGGGUUUUUUAUAAUCUGAGCCUUCUCGGCGCCUCUCGUAGGCGUUUCGAAAAUGAAUCAAAACUUUCAACAACGGAUCUCUUGGUUCUGGCAUCGAUGAAGAACGCAGCGAAAUGCGAUAAGUAAUGUGAAUUGCAGAAUUCAGUGAAUCAUCGAAUCUUUGAACGCACAUUGCGCCCGCCAGUAUUCUGGCGGGCAUGCCUGUCCGAGCGUCAUUUCAACCCUCGAACCCCUCCGGGGGGUCGGCGUUGGGGAUCGGCCCUGCCUCUUGGCGGUGGCCGUCUCCGAAAUACAGUGGCGGUCUCGCCGCAGCCUCUCCUGCGCAGUAGUUUGCACACUCGCAUCGGGAGCGCGGCGCGUCCACAGCCGUUAAACACCCAACUUCUGAAAUGUUGACCUCGGAUCAGGUAGGAAUACCCGCUGAACUUAAGCAUAU
RNAcentral lists this ribosomal RNA (548 nucleotides) under Trichoderma harzianum. RNAcentral describes it as "eukaryotic LSU rRNA". The stretch from base 174 to 327 matches the Rfam family "5.8S ribosomal RNA". The record is from RNAcentral. Lineage: Eukaryota; Fungi; Ascomycota; Sordariomycetes; Hypocreales; Hypocreaceae.